This 497-nucleotide ribosomal RNA is filed under the name uncultured bacterium. Its description in RNAcentral is "partial 16S ribosomal RNA". It matches the Rfam family "Bacterial small subunit ribosomal RNA", at positions 28 to 507 of the family's 1533-position model. The record is from RNAcentral.
GAUGAACGCUGGCGGCGUGCCUAAUACAUGCAAGUCGAGCGAACAGACGAGGAGCUUGCUCCUCUGACGUUAGCGGCGGACGGGUGAGUAACACGUGGAUAACCUACCUAUAAGACUGGGAUAACUUCGGGAAACCGGAGCUAAUACCGGAUAAUAUAUUGAACCGCAUGGUUCAAUAGUGAAAGACGGUUUUGCUGUCACUUAUAGAUGGAUCCGCGCCGCAUUAGCUAGUUGGUAAGGUAACGGCUUACCAAGGCACCGAUGCGUAGCCGACCUGAGAGGGUGAUCGGCCACACUGGAACUGAGACACGGUCCAGACUCCUACGGGAGGCAGCAGUAGGGAAUCUUCCGCAAUGGGCGAAAGCUUGACGGAGCAACGCCGCGUGAGUGAUGAAGGUCUUCGGAUCGUAAAACUCUGUUAUUAGGGAAGAACAAAUGUGUAAGUAACUAUGCACGUCUUGACGGUACCUAAUCAGAAAGCCACGGCUAACUACGUG